This 227-nucleotide long non-coding RNA is filed under the name Ananas comosus (pineapple). Its description in RNAcentral is "long non-coding RNA (ACOM_LNC017837)". The record is from RNAcentral. Lineage: Eukaryota; Viridiplantae; Streptophyta; Magnoliopsida; Poales; Bromeliaceae.
GUUUUUACUUUUCGUAAAAUGAAAAUGCAUGCAUAUUCUUACUAGAUAGAAUAUUUGAGAAUUUUAGAAUGCUUAAUAUGUGCAUAUUAUGUAUAAAGUACAUUGGACCUCUAUGUAGUAGAGAACUGUUCAUAUUUGGAACCUUGCAUAUGGUUAGCAUUCUUACAUUUGAUUGAGAUCAUGUUGCAUGUAGUGCAUAUGACAUGUAGGUUACACUCUUGGACUUA